Long non-coding RNA from Dermacentor andersoni, 1969 nucleotides. RefSeq lists it as uncharacterized. Lineage: Eukaryota; Metazoa; Arthropoda; Arachnida; Ixodida; Ixodidae. The record is from RefSeq and is a predicted model, not a curated record.
GCGUUCAGGACGGGAGCAGUGGUACACGUGUUUCAACGUGGGUCAAAAGAUAGGUUGUAAACACUGGCGCGGCAUGCGGACGUUGCGCUCGGUGCGCAUGCACGACUGGUCAAGUGGCCUCGCUGCGCAGGGCGUCCCCCCUCUUGACCGCAUGCACAACGAUCUACAGGCGGUUCACGCACGUGGUAGUCUUUUGACAGUGCCCGGGUGUGUAUAUAUAUAUAAGACGGCGUGCUUCCGUCUACGAGGGCCACACAAGCUUCAGCGACGUUUGGGAAUACGGACCCCUCCGAAGGUUUUCAACCGUGGUUUCUCACUCAACACUCGCCUGAAAGAUGAACAGGUCCCUGCUUGUCACAAUCGUCGUCUUGGCUGCCCUUUGCAGUUUGACCGCCGCCCAAUUUGGCUACUACGGUGGUUUUGGACGCGGCUUCGGAUACCGAGGAUACGGUGGUUACCGUGGCUUCGGCGGUUACGGAGGCUAUGGCGGAUACCGAGGCUUUGGCGGUUUCGGUGGCUAUAGAGGCUUCGGACGUGGAUAUGGCUUCUAUGGUUAAGAGACCGGCCGUGCUGAAAGUGGUCCCUGUGUGUGGAGAGGCAUGAUGCUGAUGAACAAUAUUUGUAGAUUUUUUUAGUGAAAUACAUGUUUCCCAAGAAGACGAGUGAUGUCAUUGGUUCUUAAGUAUAGAACGGAUUCAAUUUCGUUCGUGCAACAAGCACACAAGAUCUAAUACUAAACUAAAUCACUUGUACUGAUGAGUAGUUAAAUAUCCCAAAGUUUGCUGCAAAUUUAAUCGCGCUCCAUAAGAGAGUUAUAGAACUGCCUCUUCUCAACAAAGGGCAAUGAAAAUUACGCGCUGUAAGUAUUCUGGAUGUCUGAAAAGCAAUUUGAUAGCUUGCAAGUGCAAAAGCUAAUAAAAAAAGCCUGCAAGCACGACGAGUGGCAAACAUAAAUACUAGAUGAAGAAGAAGGAAAAAAGCCUACACAAUGUAACCAGGGAACGGCGGACAUACAUUUUAACGGUUGCUUACGCUACUUGGGACUACAAUUAUCGCAUGAACAAAACAAAGCAACAAAAAGGUCAGACCUUCGAUGUGAAUAUUACAGCUGACAAUGCAAGUUGUAUCGAAAUCAUGGAUACGGCGAAUGGCGACGGCGCCUUCCUUGCGCGCAGAAAUAUCUAAGGUCACGUGCGUCAUUGCGGCACCAUAACCACCUCGCAUUGGCACUUUGUGAAGCCAGAAAGAAGGAUUUUAAUAGGCCUGUCGUGAGGCUUGAAGCUCGUGAUUGCAUAGACACCUGUUCUCGAGUUAGAAAAACUGAACAGCCACGUAAAGGCGCCCUGGCUCAUGAAAACUCCUUGACGUCACAUGUUCCUGUCUUGCAACGGGCAUGAAAUUGAAAUGCGAACAUAAUGCCAGUGAUAUCGCACGAUGUCAAAUUACCCAUCACUCGUAUACCCACGCCGAAUAUUAGUGUACAAAUCCACAAAUGUGGUACCAGCGUAUAUAGGGCUUCAAGGAAAAAGUAUACAACGGAGAAAUUUGGUACAUGUGCGACAAUAAAAUCGGGAUACUCCCCCCCUCAAAUGCACAACUUUAAUUCUUAUAAUUUCAAGACAAUGAACCUUUUUGUUUCCCAUGGCUGUACAGCAGAAGCAAAAUCAGAAGCCAGUUCCUUUUUCUUCUUUUUUUCUUGCACCUUACACUUGGAACAUUGAUAAGGCUAAUAAAAUGUCCUUGCUUACAUGAUUGAAUUUUCAUGGGCUGCUAGGAAGGCUGAGCUAGUCUGCAACGCUAUUCUCUAGAUGUUUCUUAUAUUGCUCGGAAGAACAUUUCAGCACACAAAUACAAUGACGCAUGAAUUUUUAAAUAAUGUAUCAGUCUAUCUGAGCAUACUGUAUGUAGACCUCACCGACUGCUCGAACAUAGCGCUUACACUCUAAAAUAAACCGCCGUCGUAUCAUCA